Gavialis gangeticus (Gharial) is the source of this 1863-nucleotide RNA transcript. It is a transcript of the gene named chitin-binding lectin 1-like, with no coding region annotated. The transcript is spliced from 3 exons. NCBI's taxonomy places the organism in Eukaryota, Metazoa, Chordata, Crocodylia, Gavialidae. The record is from RefSeq and is a predicted model, not a curated record.
GCCACGGCCACGGCGAGCCCCUACGUGGGGCUGCGGCGGCCCCUGGGCCACCAGCUGGGCCCCGCCACCAAGGAGCGCAUCUGGCGGGGGGAGUUCAUCGACCUGUUCUCGCUGCUGCACACCGAGCUGGCCCCCGAUCGGGGCCGGGGCCAGGGCCAGGGGCGGGGGGACACGCUGGACCAGUGGGUGUCUGCUUUCCUGGUGUACGCCAGCGUGCUGUGCGAGCGCCACCCCCACAAGUGCGGGGCCAUGUUCAAGUACCUGGACAUGAUCCGCAAGUUCCACGCCACGUAUGGCGGUACCUCCUGGUUGCGCUACGAUGAGGACUUCCGGCGCCGGGCCGCCCAGGACCCUGGUCUGGCCUGGGGCGACGUAGACCUGCAGCUCUGGAUGAAGUGGAUGUCCCCGCUGAAGCCGCCCAGAAGUCGGCAGCCACCCGCUGAAGCCGACGAGCAGGUGCCGCCCCCAUCACCGCCACUGCCACCACCACCGCUGCCGUUGCUGCCCCCCAGGCCAGAUGAGAAGAGUCAGGUGUGCGGCGGGGCUUUGACCGGGGGCACGGGCUCCCGUGCCGCCUGCGGCUCCGAGCAGGAGGGCACCAAGUGCCAGGGGUGUCCCAGCGCGCUCGGAGAGGACAGGGAAGGGCUCGGCGACAGGACACGGGAAGGAGGCGAGCAGCGGGGCUCGGAGAGCCACUCGAGUUGAGACAGGGCCUCACUUAGAGUAGAGGCGUGGAGCCAUCACCAAUAGCUGAACUGGUGCAACCGUGAACACGCACAGAUUUGUUAAAAACAGAAUUUCUUAUUGGUGCCAACAGCCUGACUCCAUUGGUGUUUAAGAGGAGCUCUGGUAUUCUAGUGCAUUCUUUUACCUCUGCUUCUGUUGCAUUGCAAGCUGUGCUAGAGAAGACAUAGGAAAUUCGUUUUACCCAAUCAGCAAUUUAACAAUGGACUACAAACCUACAGAGCAAGCCAGUUUGUUGGAAAACAGGAGUUCCUGCAGCGCAGCACUUGACACAGACUAUCCAGAGGGCAGAGAUUCAAGAGGGUGAAUAAAUCUGAAACAGUCUCCAGAAGGGGAAUCCUAACCUAAAAUUCUAAUUUGAAAAUAUUAGCCAAUUUAAAAAGCAUAUUGCCCUUUCUCAUUUGAGCAGUUUAUCACAACUGGACACUUCAAAACGUGUGUACUGUACUACUAAAAAAUCUAAUACUUGUCUUUGUUAAGAGUUGUUAAUUUUUACCAUUUCUGAAAACUAUCUGCAGCAAAUGUGUAUGAACUUGAAAUUAUCUUACAUUCAGUAUAUCUCAGGUGGUUGAAAUAAUUGCUUUAUAAGGCUCACCUAAUACUGCCUCUUUUUUUUUCUCUGAACUUCCCUCCCCAUCUUUAAUUUACACUGGCACCAUUGAAAACAGGCAUAACAGUCAUACGUAUCUAGGUCCUUACCCAUACUAAGAGUUGAUCUAAAUUAUUUUUCCACUUACAUCCCAGUAGCAUACUAGCAUCCAGUACACACAUCUGAGUGGUGUAUCUAGCAUCCUAAGUCUCAGGUAUGAUUGUUUAUAGUCUGGUGCCAAUGAGAAUCAGAUUAGAUGGUCUAUGGUGUAAUGAUACUCCAUUUUCUUCAGUGGCUUAUUUUCCAUUUCUCUCCCCACACAUCCUAGAGAGUAUGAUUGAAGUAAUACUAUGCUACAAUAACACACUAUGGUAAGGUCAUUGUAUCAGGAAAAUCUGCCACUAUCUGUUCUAUUUUCCCCCUUCUUAAUAGUCUCAGUUACAUGAAUUAACAUGAAACGUUUGUAAAUUCAUGUUAAAGUGUUUGAGAUCUCAUCUAAAUAAAUUUUUUAUAUAUAAAAAUUGCUCUAA